RNAcentral lists this ribosomal RNA (466 nucleotides) under uncultured bacterium. RNAcentral's name for it is "partial 16S ribosomal RNA". It matches the Rfam family "Bacterial small subunit ribosomal RNA", at positions 28 to 507 of the family's 1533-position model. The record is from RNAcentral.
GAUGAACGCUGGCGGCGUGCUUAACACAUGCAAGUCGAACGGUAAAGCCCUGCUUGCCUGGUGUAUUAGGGGCGAACGGGUGAGUGAGACAUGAGUACCCUGCCCUCUACUCUUUGAUAAGCCUUGAAGACUGGGUCUAUAACCUGAUAGCGGAGUCCACCGCAUGGUGGGUGUUGGGGAGCUUUAGCGGUUUUGGAUGGACACGCGGCGUAUCAGCUUGUGGUUGUGGGAGUGGCUCACCCAGGCGACGACGGGUAGCCGGCCUGAGAGCGUGAGCGGGCACACUGGGACUGAGAGACGGCGCAGACUCCUACGGGAGGCAGCAGUGGGGAAUAUUGCACAAUGGGCGCAAGCCUGAUGCAGCGACGCCGCGUGAGGGAUGACGGCCUUCGGGUUGUAAACCGCUUUCGGUAGGGAAGAAGCGAAAGUGACGGUACCUGCAGAAGAAGCACCGGCUAACUACGUG